RNAcentral lists this long non-coding RNA (882 nucleotides) under Sus scrofa (pig). RNAcentral describes it as "lncRNA (ENSSSCG00040036821.1)". The record is from RNAcentral. Lineage: Eukaryota; Metazoa; Chordata; Mammalia; Artiodactyla; Suidae.
GCGCUGCUGAGACCCGCGUGUGCGGAGGGAAGUGGGGAACUGCCCCUUUUCCAAGGGCCUGAACACAGCUUUUGACUACUGACUGUCCUGUUCUGCCUUCCUCUUCGCGUGGGCCACCGCCCCACAGCGCCGCUGGGUUCCCUUCGCGGCCGCAUGGUACGCGUCCCGGGAGCGAAGCUUCCCCUGGGGGGAGCGCGCUAACCUGAGCUCCUUCGGUGCACCGCCCUGCCGACUGUCUGGAAGUCAGCAAUGGGAUAUUCCCACCACAACUUUACCGGGAUCUCUGGGUUGACUCUCUGGGUUGAGGAUCGGGGAGCUGGGUCGGGAGGCUGGCUUGUGGCUGUGGUUGAGGGGCCCGGACGCCUCGAAAGCAGGAGGGUGCCCAGGCGAAGUGCAGGCUGCACCAUGCAAUCUUCCGGGCGCAGAGGCGACCCAACCCGACCUGAGGGAGAUCCACGGGCUCUGGGCCGAGGGGAGACGCAGUGGAAUGAACUGAACUGCUGGUCCACAAGAACAGUUUUUCUAUCAAAGGAUACCAUCAAAUUCUGGAGAAGUUCUACAAAUCAUAAUCUAUUUCCCUUUUUCCAGAAAGGCAACUUGAUUCGGGGGGAUAUGGCAGCUUCCACUCUGAGGUGCCCUUACUUCAAAUCAGGCCCAGCCCAAGGAAUUCUAGUAGCAUGUAUCCAACUGUUUCAAACCUCCACCUGCUACAUGGGCGUGGCUUCUGAGAUCGACAUGCUUCCAACAGCUUAUACAGAGUGAACGGCAGAUGCGUCCUUUGGGGGUGAUCUCAGGGACGUCAGAAAGUCCCUGCCUUCCAAAACACCUCCACCACCUUCUUGGUGGUGAAUAAAUGAGGGAAAUCCCAUCUAGAGAAGAGCA